This 342-nucleotide long non-coding RNA is filed under the name Homo sapiens (human). Its description in RNAcentral is "non-protein coding lnc-EXOC2-10:2". Lineage: Eukaryota; Metazoa; Chordata; Mammalia; Primates; Hominidae. The record is from RNAcentral.
AGGAAAAUGAAGUCAUGCUAGAUUCCACAUCACUUUUUUGUUCCAGGAUGUACUUCCCUAAAAAGUGUGCAAUUCAGCACAUAGAUAUUUGAGGCUGGGUGUGGUGGCUCAUGCCAUGGGAGGACUGCUGGAGCACAGGAGUUCGGGACUAGCCUGGGCAGCACAGCGAGAUCCCAUUUCUACAAAAAACAGCAACAAAAAUUACGCAGGCAUGGUGGCACGCAUCUGUAGUCCUAGUUACUCUGGAGGCUGUGUUCCCAGAAAGCAGCCUUCAGUUGGGGGAAUCUGGAUGGGCACUGAUGGCCUCUGUUACCAUCCUGCCUGGUAUGGCGGAUCCACGGC